This is a long non-coding RNA of Callithrix jacchus (white-tufted-ear marmoset), 859 nucleotides long. RefSeq lists it as uncharacterized. The record is from RefSeq and is a predicted model, not a curated record. Lineage: Eukaryota; Metazoa; Chordata; Mammalia; Primates; Cebidae.
GUCUCAGGGCCAGCGCUUAAUUAGGGGCGGGGCUUAAUUAGGGGCGAAACGGGAAGCAGAUGCGGCGCAAUGCAGCAUCAUUUCUGAGGCUGAAGGAGCAGUUGACAUUUGAAAUGUCUAUUAUCUUCAAGGAAGCCUCGCCUCCCUAAAGAGAGAGUUUAUUCUCUCCACGGUGGUCAGGGCAGUCUGAAAGAAAAUGACCAACGGAAUACGAUGAACUGAUGGCACGUGACUUCUUCCAAGGUGAGGCCGUAAAAGACACGGAAGUUUCUGCUUUGGCCUCUUGAAUCACUUUCUCUGGGGGAAACCAGCUACUGGGUCAUAAGGACACUCAGGCAGCCCCAUAGCGGGGCCCAAGUGGAGAGAAACCACUUGCCAGCAUUAACUUGAUAGUCAUGAGUUGUGUGAAUGAGUGGAUCCUACCAUCCUGGUCAAACCUUUGAUAACCGAAGGCCCCACCUAUAUUUGACUGCAGUCUUCCGAGAGACCCCCAAGCUGCUCUAGAAUUCCUGACCUACAGAAACUGUGAGGGAUAAUAUAUGUUUGUUGUUUUAAGCCAGUACAUUUUGGAAUGAUUUGCUACACAGCAAUAUACAACGAAUACACAGGUCAUCACAGGUAAUAUUUUUAUUAAAUAGUUGUAUGGCUCAAACCUGGGUCUGCAUCUUUGUAGGCUUUGAUUUUUGUUUCUUUACCACUCACUGACUGUUAAGCCACAUAUUUUAGGUUUUUGUUACAAUCACACCUAACCUCAAUGUACCCUUUGGUUAGGUGUGUAAUAGAUAAUGCUAGACACUAGAACAGAUUAAAUCUUGACAUCUGAGUGGAUUAAUACAAUAAACGUUUAUUUUUCAUUUCA